This 467-nucleotide unclassified non-coding RNA is filed under the name uncultured fungus. Its description in RNAcentral is "sequence contains ITS2". The stretch from base 1 to 52 matches the Rfam family "5.8S ribosomal RNA", at positions 103 to 154 of the family's 154-position model. Lineage: Eukaryota; Fungi. The record is from RNAcentral.
AACGCAUCUUGCACCCUUUGGUAUUCCGAAGGGUAUGCCUGUUUGAGUGUCAGUUAAUUCUCAACUCUUUAUUGGUUUUUCAAUCAGUAACCAGAGAUUGGAUGUGGAGGCUUGCUGGAUGCUAACUCAGCGUUCAGCUCUUCUGAAAUGUAUUAGCGGUAACCGUACCUCGGUGUGCUUUAAGCUGUGAUAAUUAUCCUAGUUUGACACAUUGAGCAUCAGAAUAUUCGUGUUUUUGAAGAGAGUUUAACGACCCUCUUUUGAAUUCUCUAUAAACGAGAUACCUAUGCGACUCUGAUGGAGACGGAGAUCGGGUUAUUGAAGAAGUUUUUAUUAACUUUCUUUGCCUUCUCUAUAAAUGAGAUAACUAUCCGACUUCAUGAUUACUGCUUCUAACAGUCUUCUCAGUAAGACAACUAACUUGACUAUUUGGCCUCAAAUCAGGUAGGAUUACCCGCUGAACUUAA